Molecule: ribosomal RNA, 497 nt
Filed under: uncultured bacterium
Lineage: Bacteria
Description: partial 16S ribosomal RNA
Rfam family: Bacterial small subunit ribosomal RNA
Source: RNAcentral
GAUGAACGCUGGCGGCGUGCCUAAUACAUGCAAGUCGAGCGAACAGACGAGGAGCUUGCUCCUCUGACGUUAGCGGCGGACGGGUGAGUAACACGUGGAUAACCUACCUAUAAGACUGGGAUAACUUCGGGAAACCGGAGCUAAUACCGGAUAACAUGUUGAACCGCAUGGUUCAACAGUGAAAGACGGUUUUGCUGUCACUUAUAGAUGGAUCCGCGCCGCAUUAGCUAGUUGGUAAGGUAACGGCUUACCAAGGCAACGAUGCGUAGCCGACCUGAGAGGGGGAUCGGCCACACUGGAACUGAGAAACGGUCCAGACUCCUACGGGAGGCAGCAGUAGGGAAUCUUCCGCAAUGGGCGAAAGCCUGACGGAGCAACGCCGCGUGAGUGAAGAAGGUCUUAGGAUCGUAAAACUCUGUUAUGAGGGAAGAACAAAUGUGUAAGUAACUAUGCACGUCUUGACGGUACCUAAUCAGAAAGCCACGGCUAACUACGUG